RNAcentral lists this non-coding RNA (44 nucleotides) under Schinkia azotoformans LMG 9581. RNAcentral describes it as "Bacillus azotoformans LMG 9581 PreQ1 (pre queuosine) riboswitch aptamer". It matches the Rfam family "PreQ1 (pre queuosine) riboswitch aptamer". Rfam says of the family: This family is a bacterial riboswitch that binds to the metabolite preQ1, an intermediate in the biosynthesis of the modified nucleoside queuosine from GTP. One example of this riboswitch is located in the leader of the Bacillus subtilis ykvJKLM (queCDEF) operon which encodes four genes necessary for queuosine production. Lineage: Bacteria; Bacillati; Bacillota; Bacilli; Caryophanales; Bacillaceae. The record is from Rfam by way of RNAcentral.
AUGGCAGCAGUUCGAAAAAUCCUGCUUUAAAAAACUAAGGAGAU